This 500-nucleotide ribosomal RNA is filed under the name uncultured bacterium. RNAcentral describes it as "partial 16S ribosomal RNA". It matches the Rfam family "Bacterial small subunit ribosomal RNA", at positions 29 to 523 of the family's 1533-position model. The record is from RNAcentral.
AUUGAACGCUGGCGGCAUGCCUUACACAUGCAAGUCGAACGGCAGCACGGGAGCAAUCCUGGUGGCGAGUGGCGAACGGGUGAGUAAAGUAUCGGAACGUGCCCAGUCGUGGGGGAUAACGUAGCGAAAGUUACGCUAAUACCGCAUACGAUCUACGGAUGAAAGCGGGGGAUCGCAAGACCUCGCGCGAGUGGAGCGGCGGAAAUCAGAUUAGGUAGUUGGUGGGGUAAAGGCUCACCAAGCCGACGAUCUGUAGCUGGUCUGAGAGGACGACCAGCCACACUGGGACUGAGACACGGCCCAGACUCCUACGGGAGGCAGCAGUGGGGAAUUUUGGACAAUGGGCGCAAGCCUGAUCCAGCCAUGCCGCGUGCAGGAUGAAGGCCUUCGGGUUGUAAACUGCUUUUGUACGGAACGAAAAGGUUUGGCCUAAUAAGCUGGACCCAUGACGGUACCGUAAGAAUAAGCACCGGCUAACUACGUGCCAGCAGCCGCCGUAA